This 100-nucleotide transfer RNA is filed under the name Armillaria luteobubalina. It matches the Rfam family "tRNA". From Rfam's summary of the family: Transfer RNA (tRNA) molecules are approximately 80 nucleotides in length. Their secondary structure includes four short double-helical elements and three loops (D, anti-codon, and T loops). Lineage: Eukaryota; Fungi; Basidiomycota; Agaricomycetes; Agaricales; Physalacriaceae. The record is from Rfam by way of RNAcentral.
GGCCGACUAGCUCAGUUGGUUAGAGCGUCGUGCUAAUAUCUCAAAUUGUUUGCGGAUGUUAUUAACGCGAAGGUCUUGGGUUCGAUUCCCACGUUGGCCA